This 77-nucleotide transfer RNA is filed under the name Pseudacidobacterium ailaaui. RNAcentral describes it as "Acidobacterium ailaaui (wood decay metagenome) tRNA-OTHER". It matches the Rfam family "tRNA". From Rfam's summary of the family: Transfer RNA (tRNA) molecules are approximately 80 nucleotides in length. Their secondary structure includes four short double-helical elements and three loops (D, anti-codon, and T loops). Further hydrogen bonds mediate the characteristic L-shaped molecular structure. tRNAs have two regions of fundamental functional importance: the anti-codon, which is responsible for specific mRNA codon recognition, and the 3' end, to which the tRNAs corresponding amino acid is attached (by aminoacyl-tRNA synthetases). tRNAs cope with the degeneracy of the genetic code in two manners: having more than one tRNA (with a specific anti-codon) for a particular amino acid; and 'wobble' base-pairing, i.e. permitting non-standard base-pairing at the 3rd anti-codon position. Lineage: Bacteria; Pseudomonadati; Acidobacteriota; Terriglobia; Terriglobales; Acidobacteriaceae. The record is from RNAcentral.
GCGCUAGUAGCUCAGUGGUCAGAGCGCCGCCGCAUGAGGGACGGCGGAGGUCGCCGGAUCGAUUCCGGCCUAGCGCU